GUAGGUGGCAAGCGUUGUCCGGAAUUAUUGGGGCGUAAAGCGCGCGCAGGCGGUUCUUUAAGUCUGAUGUGAAAGCCCACGGGCUCAACCGUGGAGGGUCAUUGGAAACUGGAGAACUUGAGUACAGAAGAGGAAAGCGGAAUUCCACGUGUAGCGGUGAAAUGCGUAGAGAUGUGGAGGAACACCAGUGGCGAAGGCGGCUUUCUGGUCUGUAACUGACGCUGAGGCGCGAAAGCGUGGGGAGCAAACAGGAUUAGAUACCCUGGUAGUCCACGCCGUAAACGAUGAGUGCUAAGUGUUAGGGGAUUUCCGCCCCUUAGCGCUGCAGCUAACGCAUUAAGCACUCCGCCUGGGGAGUACGGCCGCAAGGCUG
Molecule: ribosomal RNA, 373 nt
Filed under: uncultured organism
Description: partial 16S ribosomal RNA
Rfam family: Bacterial small subunit ribosomal RNA
Source: RNAcentral